This is a long non-coding RNA of Gallus gallus (chicken), 1294 nucleotides long. RefSeq lists it as uncharacterized. Lineage: Eukaryota; Metazoa; Chordata; Aves; Galliformes; Phasianidae. The record is from RefSeq and is a predicted model, not a curated record. The transcript is spliced from 2 exons.
UCUGUGGGGUGAUGGGUGCUCUGUGGGGUGAUGAUGGGUGCUCUGUGGGGUGAUGGGUGCUCUGUGGGGUGAUGAUGGGUGCUCUGUGGGGUGAUGGGUGCUCUGUGGGGUGAUGAUGGGUACUCUGUGGGGUGAUGGGCGCUCUGUGGGGUGAUGAUGGGUACUCUGUGGGGUGAUGGGCGCUCUGUGGGGUGAUGGGCGCUCUGUGGGGUGAUGGGUGAUGGGCGCUCUGUGGGGUGAUGGGUGCUCUGUGGGGUGAUGGGCGCUCUGUGGGGUGAUGAUGGGCGCUCUGUGGGGUGAUGGGCGUCCCAUGGCUGCACUGUGUCCCACAGUGUUGCCAGCUGUCCCAUGGCCGUGCUGGAUGUCCCAUGGCAGUGGUGGCUGCCCCAUAGAGGUACCAGCUGUCCCAUAGUGGUGACAGCUGUCCCAAGGCAGUGGUGGCUGCCCCAUAGAGGUGUCAGCUGUCCCAUGGCAGUGGUGGCUGCCCCAUAGAGGUGACAUAGAGGCUGCCCCAUAGAGGUGGCUGCCAUAUAGAGGUGACAGCUGUCCCAAGGCAGUGGUGGCUGCCCCAUAGAGGUGACAGCUGUCCCAUGGCAGUGGUUGCUGCCCCAUAGAGGUGACAGCUGUCCCAAAGCAGUGGUGGCUGCCCUAUAGUGGUGACAGGUGUCCCAUGGCAGUGGUGGCUGCCCCAUAGAGGUGACAGCUGUCCCAUGUCAGUGGUGGCUGCCCCAUAGUGGUACCAGGUGUCCCAUAGUGGUGACAGCUGUCCCAUGGCCGUGCUGGGUGUCCCAUGGCAGUGGUGGCUGUCCCAUAGAGGUGACAGCUGUCCCAUGGCAGUGGUGGCAGUCCCAUAGUGGUACCAGGUGUCCCAUAGUGGUGACAGCUGUCCCAUGGCCAUGCUGGGUGUCCCAAGGCAGUGGUGGCUGCCCCAUAGAGGUGACAGCUGCCCCAUGGCAGUGGUGGCAGUCCCAUAGUGGUACCAGGUGUCCCAUAGUGGUACCAGGUGUCCCAUAGUGCUGACAGCUGUCCCAUGGCAGUGGUGGCAGUCCCAUAGAGGUGACAGCUGUCCCAUGGCAGUGGUGGCUGCCCCAUAGUGGUACCAGGUGUCCCAAAGCAGUGGUGGCUGUCCCAUAGAGGGUUACCCACUAUGGGGUGGUGCUGUGGGGUGCUGUGGGGUGUCACCCGGUGCUCACUGUCCCCCCGUUUCACCCCCCGCCCGGACAAACAACGCUGGGCUCGUUUUUAAAUAAGAAUAAUUAAAAAAAAAACAAAACAAAACAAAACCGAAACGGAA